GUGCAAAGGGGCUGGAAUAUGGGACAAGAACAGACCUUGGAGCUGUAGAGAAUUGAUUGCUUCAAGUUCUUCAUUAAAUUGAGAAAGUAAGUAAAUUCUGCACUUUUUCGUCUGGACCUGUCUUCAGUAAUCGAAUCAUAGCUGACAAACCGUACAUCCGUUUUGAAUAGUACUUACAUGUCUGGAAAGCCGACGAAAUAACCGUCGUCUCGGUGUCAACCACGUAUAAUUUGGAUCAAUAUUGAGGCCUGGAGACGCCUUUGAAGUUGGAGCUCUGAUGCAGAAUUAUGCAGAAAAUUCUGAUUAUGGGUUUAUAGCAUUUCAGUUGCAAAUUAUGCGUUUCGACGAGCUCUGAAAGUGUCGCUGGUAUUGUUCAAGCUUCUUUUCAGGUGGGUUCCCUUAGAGACUUAAAUUCUAGUUAGUUUAGCUCCAUUAGUUUCCCCAAAUAAAAUAAAUGCAUGAUAACAAUAGUUCAGUUAGAAUAUUAGUUCCCCAAUUUAUCAAUUGCAUGACAAUACUAGGAUUUAAGGAAUUUAUUGUGUGAGAAUGGUUAAAUCCCAAACUAUUCUCCGUUCUGAAUAUAUGAACUAAUUAUAGUGUCUAAAAUUAGGAAGAUAUGGAUUGUAGGUGAUUAUUGGCUUGAUUUCUCAGAAAAAUGCAAACAGGGUUCUGUACUGAUGUACUCACUUAACGAGGAAUGACUUCGUUGGGCGAGAGUGUCAGAAUAGAACACUGCAGAAUUUUACUUUAAUUGCUAAGUCACUCGUUUAUAUUCCUAUUCUUCCUGAUGUAUUUUUGUAGACACUGUAACAUCUUUGCAUAUAUAGAAUGUUAAUCACACCUCAGGAAAUUAAGUAUCAUGAAUCAGGACAGUUUAUAGAUACCCUGGGAGGGAAUUCAUCGGCAGGAUAACAAUCAGGAUUAUUAAGUUAAGAAAGUCAAUCAAUUAUGGUGGUUACUUAUGUACCACGUUAUGGGAUUCGUUAGAAUCCAAUCAUGUUAUGAUUGUGAGCUGAUCAGCCGUGUCGAUGUACAUUAUUAUCGCAGACGGACAUGUUAGGCCUCUGAGACCGGCUCACCUUAGAGUGUCUUUGUUAUGAAUAAAACGAACAAGAUAAAUAAUUUGUGUUACACCUUUAUGUAUUAUGUUAUGAAAUUAUGUUAUGUAAAUCAUGUUUAGAGAUUGACUAUCAGGAUCAGAGAACUAUUAGUUCGUCAGUUACCCCGGUAUAGACACCAAUAGUAAUUGGGUAGUAGGAAUCCACUGAGACGAAGUGACUGUCUCAUCCCCAACUUAUUUGAUUUCAGAUAAACAGGUUGAUCAAGAUAUCAUGGUCUGCAAGCAUGGAGUUCAGAUACUUGGAUUAUGCUAGUUGAGCUGACGUCAUGUNN
This 1392-nucleotide long non-coding RNA is filed under the name Trifolium pratense (red clover). RNAcentral describes it as "long non-coding RNA (TPRA_LNC003955)". Lineage: Eukaryota; Viridiplantae; Streptophyta; Magnoliopsida; Fabales; Fabaceae. The record is from RNAcentral.